CCUACGGGAGGCAGCAGUGGGGAAUUUUGGACAAUGGGCGCAAGCCUGAUCCAGCCAUGCCGCGUGUGGGAAGAAGGCCUUCGGGUUGUAAACCACUUUUGUCAGGGAAGAAACGGCUUUUUCUAAUACAGAGAGCUAAUGACGGUACCUGAAGAAUAAGCACCGGCUAACUACGUGCCAGCAGCCGCGGUAAUACGUAGGGUGCAAGCGUUAAUCGGAAUUACUGGGCGUAAAGCGUGCGCAGGCGGCUUUGCAAGACAGAUGUGAAAUCCCCGGGCUCAACCUGGGAACUGCAUUUGUGACUGCAUGGCUAGAGUACGGUAGAGGGGGAUGGAAUUCCGCGUGUAGCAGUGAAAUGCGUAGAUAUGCGGAGGAACACCGAUGGCGAAGGCAAUCCCCUGGACCUGUACUGACGCUCAUGCACGAACGACGGUGGGGAGGACGAAACGAAGGAGUUAAGUAUACCCGUACGGUAGUACCGACCGACCCGUAAACCGAACUAGUACUAACUAGGUUGGUUGGUACGGUCGUUGUCGU
This 537-nucleotide ribosomal RNA is filed under the name uncultured bacterium. RNAcentral's name for it is "bacterial SSU rRNA". It matches the Rfam family "Bacterial small subunit ribosomal RNA", at positions 338 to 864 of the family's 1533-position model. The record is from RNAcentral.